RNAcentral lists this ribosomal RNA (432 nucleotides) under uncultured crenarchaeote. RNAcentral describes it as "bacterial SSU rRNA". It matches the Rfam family "Archaeal small subunit ribosomal RNA", at positions 274 to 708 of the family's 1478-position model. The record is from RNAcentral. Lineage: Archaea; Thermoproteati; Thermoproteota.
CCGUGAGAGCGGGAGCCCGGAGAUGGGCACUGAGACAGGGGCCCAGGCCCCACGGGGCGCAGCAGUCGCGAAAAUUUUGCAAUACACGAAAGUGUGACAGAGCUAUCCCGAGUGCCAUCCGCUGAGGAAGGCUUUUACCCAGUAUAAAUAGCUGGGAGAAUAAGGAGAGGGCAAGUCUGGUGUCAGCCGCCGCGGUAAUACCAGCUCUCCGAGUAGUGUGGACGUUUAUCGGGCCUAAAGCAUCCGUAGCUUGCUAGAUAAGUCCUCUGUUAAAUCCACCGAUUCAAUCGUUGGAUUGCGGGGGGUACUGUUUGGCUAGGGGACGGGAGAGGUCGACGGUAUUUCCGGGGUAGGGGUGAAAUCCUAUAAUCCCGGGAAGACCACCAGUGGCGAAGGCUGUCGACUAGAACGCGCCCGACGGUGAAGGGCGAA